Molecule: ribosomal RNA, 495 nt
Filed under: uncultured bacterium
Lineage: Bacteria
Description: partial 16S ribosomal RNA
Rfam family: Bacterial small subunit ribosomal RNA
Source: RNAcentral
GACGAACGCUGGCGGCGUGCCUAAUACAUGCAAGUAGAACGCUGAAGGAGGAGCUUGCUUCUCUGGAUGAGUUGCGAACGGGUGAGUAACGCGUAGGUAACCUGCCUGGUAGCGGGGGAUAACUAUUGGAAACGAUAGCUAAUACCGCAUAAGAGUAGAUGUUGCAUGACAUUUGCUUAAAAGGUGCAAUUGCAUCACUACCAGAUGGACCUGCGUUGUAUUAGCUAGUUGGUGGGGUAACGGCUUACCAAGGCGACGAUACAUAGCCGACCUGAGAGGGUGAUCGGCCACACUGGGACUGAGACACGGCCCAGACUCCUACGGGAGGCAGCAGUAGGGAAUCUUCGGCAAUGGACGGAAGUCUGACCGAGCAACGCCGCGUGAGUGAAGAAGGUUUUCGGAUCGUAGAGCUCUGUUGUAAGAGAAGAACGAGUGUGAGAGUGGAAAGUUCACACUGUGACGGUAUCUUACCAGAAAGGGACGGCUAACUACGUG